This 254-nucleotide ribosomal RNA is filed under the name uncultured bacterium. RNAcentral's name for it is "partial 16S ribosomal RNA". It matches the Rfam family "Bacterial small subunit ribosomal RNA", at positions 524 to 776 of the family's 1533-position model. The record is from RNAcentral.
UACGAAGGGUGCGAGCGUUGUUCGGAAUUAUUGGGCGUAAAGCGCACGUAGGCUGCCUUGUAAGUCUCACUGUGAAAGCCCGGGGCUCAACCCCGGGAGGCCAGGGGAUACUGCAAGGCUGGAGACAAGCAGAGGUUGGUAGAAUUCCGGGUGUAGCGGUGGAAUGCGUAGAGAUCCGGAGGAAUACCAGAGGCGAAGGCGGCCAACUGGGCUUGUUCUGACGCUGAGGUGCGAAAGCGUGGGGAGCAAACAGG